RNAcentral lists this long non-coding RNA (3286 nucleotides) under Capsicum annuum. RNAcentral's name for it is "long non-coding RNA (CANN_LNC009706)". Lineage: Eukaryota; Viridiplantae; Streptophyta; Magnoliopsida; Solanales; Solanaceae. The record is from RNAcentral.
AGGCUCAAAACAAAUUCCCUGACUCGGCCUACUUUUUUUCUUCUACAACAGCAACCAUUGUAUCAACUCUAGCGUACAACUAUACGCACAACAAUAGUUCGCGUACAAACAACGAAAACAAACCGUACAACCGACGAAUAGCUCAACCAAUCGACCCGACAUCAACAACCCAGCAAACCCAAUUCCUCUCUAGCCCCAAAAAUAUCAAAACAAAAUCUCUCCAGUUUGUAUAGUUUGAGCGUGUCAAGCACGAGCUCACGAGUGAAUCAAAGCUUUCCAGAAUAUUUGGGAGAUUAUACCUUCGAAUUUUCACUUUUUAUUUUUAUUUUUUGCCAAAAAUCAUAUGAUUUCAGCUCACGUAGCUCAUCCUUAUCCCUAAUUUGAAUUUUUUCUUAGAAAAAAUCUCCAUAAUACUCUUGAUCUUCCUUUUCUCCCAUAUCGAUGGAAGCGGGUUUUGGCCUUCAAUUUAUUUUCUAUAUAAAGCUCCUUGUAGAGCUAAAAAUUCAAGUCUCAAUAGAGUGGAAAAAGCUUUUCAAAGCAAAAAGUUGAAAUAUUUUUUUUAGUAAUAUUUUGGAAGGCAGUCGGCUAAUCGAAGUUCUCAAAAGAUUUUUUUUUUAUGGUGGUCGAGAUUUCGACGAUAGCUUGAAGUCUCGUUUUGCUGCUCUAAGAAAGGUAAACUUUCAUUUCAUCUUUGCUCUUCUUUUUCUCAUUUUUUUCUCUUUCUUCAUAAUAGUUAGCAGUAUUUGAUUCUCUAGUAUUAUAAUGGUGGGAUUGCUUGUUGUAGAUGACUUUGAUAGUCGUAGAAUUUGCUUGUGAUUGUCAUUGUUGUGUUGUUUAAUCAAUAUUCGUGUUAUACUUUUCACUGUUAGCCAUAUAUUUUUUGUUUCAGUUCUUCAAAUUCACUGUUUUACCCUAUUAUUCUUUUGGCUUUUAUUGUUUUCGAUUAGCCCGAAAUAGUGCUGUGUUUCUCUUUGUCUCUGCCUUAUAUGGAUUAUUGUGAGUAGGCUCAGUGUUUAUAUUGAUAAUUUAUUUCAGCUUUGAGUUUGCCAUUCCAAUUCAAUAUCGUCUUGGAUUCAAUUUCUACUCAUAAAAGUCUAAAACUCUGAAGAGUUUUGUAGGACUAUUUAUGAGAGAUGGUUGUGUUAGCUUCUCUGCCAAAAGCUCCAAAUGAGCGUAUUUUGCUUGAUUCAUUUCAAAUAUUUUUCUCCCCUUUUAUCUCUUGAUUUCAUUUGAAGUAAAUCUGAUUUAAACUCAAAGUCGUCAAAAAAAAGAGAAAUUUUUUAUUGAUGUUUCUAAACGAGAAUGACGCCCUUCUUAUUCGACAUUUUGAUUAUUUUGCUCAUGGGGUUUGUUUAGUUUAAUUCCCAACUUUAGUGUAUGCCUUACUAUUUUCUUGUUCCUUCUCGUUAAUGGUCUGGUAUUUUUAUUAAAGUUUCCAUCUUAUUGCAUCUCAUACUUGAAAGAAAACUUUCUGAAAGUUUUUCUUCCAAUUUCGUCUGAUAUGUCUUUCCGCGGUUCCAUUUAUUUUAAACAUGUUUUUUUUUUUUGUGAUGUUCUGGUCAUCUUUAGGGUUUAUAACGUGCACAUUUUAGGAUUUGAUUCAUGGUUCUCCCAAGUUCAUGAUACUAAGGAAAGAACUGAUGAAACCUUGGAGGAAAGGCAAUGUAAUCUUACGUACUUCUCUUCUCUUCUCUUAAAUGCUUGGUUGCAAUUUUGUGUUUUAAUCAUUCUUAUUUCUGCUUACUGGAAUCCCACAAAACUAAUUUUAAAUCUCUCUCUAUUCUUUAAAAUCAGUUUACAUGUUUUACGUAUUGAUGAUAUCCAUAAUUGCGAGACUUUACCAUGUUAAGUAUGCUCAUUUCUUUUUUUCUCUCUUAUAUAAAAAUAGAAGUUGUAGGGUUUUUUGUUUUUUUUUUGAAGUUAAACCUAUUUAUUUUUCUUGGCAUUUCUAUAUCUUGACUUACCGUCUUCUAUUUUAUUAUGGACCAUAAUAGUUUCCUUUUUAUCUAUUGUUUUGUUAUAUUAAUUUCUCCAUAUAGCAUUGUGUAUUUCGGAUGCGUAUUAAUUUUCUUCAUGUCUUUUUUUCCAUGUGAAUCUGUUUCGGAGUCAAAUGAACUCUUCUCCUUUUGCAUUCUAUAAUGGGCUAAUGAGGCGCAUCCCUUCUAGUCGGUCAUUUUUUGGAUAAAGAAGUUGUUGCUGAUAGAAGAAGAAAAAUGUGUCAAAACCCAGUGACAAAGUUGCUAGGAUUUGGAAACUCGAAAAAGUCUCGAUUAUUUUUUUCCUUUGUAUAUAUUUAUUUAUUCAUUCAUUCAUUGUGGGUCUCAAAGUCAAAGUUGUAAUCUAAUACAGGUGAAACAAAUUUUUGGGCCUUCAAGGUCCGAAAACUAGUUUAGGACAGGUUGCGGGUCAAAAACCCAAAUGAUUAAACUAGAACAAGUACAAAUGGGCUAAAAGCACAAAUAAUUAGACUAGGACAGGUACAGUGGGCCAAAAGCCUAAAUAGUUAUAUUAGAACAUGUUGUGUGCCGAAAGUCCAAUUAGAUUAGGACAGAUUUAUGAUUUGCGCCUAAUGGCCUAAGUCUUUUAGUAUUCCCCUUACUCCUUUCUAUGUUAUUUGCUACUAAUCUUUUUUUAAAAGACUCAGUUAAAUUUCCUAUUAAGUCGUCAAAAAUUGAUUUUACAUAAACCUCAAAAUAAUUUUUCCUUAAUCAAUUUCCUCUCUAAAUCUAAAAGUAAAUUUUUUUUUUUAAGUUAGUCAAAAAAGUUGUUUUCAAGUAGUCUGUAUAACCGCAAGUUAGCGGCUACUCUUAGUGCCUUAACAAACUUUCAAAAGUAUUAAUAGGAAUCACUUACUCAGAAUUUUCAAAGUUAAAGGAUUUUCCUAUUUUGAAUCUUUUAAGUAAAUUUUUAAAAGGUUUUCUUAAUUUUUCUAAAUAAAUUAAGUGGCGACUCUAUUUUUCAAAUUGAGUUUGAAAACUUUUUCAAAAAUAUUUGAAUUCGUAAAAUUGCAAAAAGCCAUCUUUGUUCGCAAAACAAUUAUGGUUUAAAAAUAUUUAAUUGUUGUAUUUGUUCGUUUUGUAUUUGUUGGAUACAUUGUAUCAAUCCCUUCGGAACCUUGUUGUAUUUUUGUUGAAUACACUGUAUAUGUUCGCUUAACUUAGCUGUAUUAACAUAUACAAAUUCAUUGGAUACACAUCCUUUUGUUUCUUAUUGUUGAUUGUUGAUACAGGGGUUUGGUGAAGUGUUUUUGGACUUUCAUGUCAUGAAAAUUCUCAGGUGGACUACU